RNAcentral lists this long non-coding RNA (302 nucleotides) under Setaria viridis. RNAcentral's name for it is "long non-coding RNA (SVIR_LNC006348)". Lineage: Eukaryota; Viridiplantae; Streptophyta; Magnoliopsida; Poales; Poaceae. The record is from RNAcentral.
UUAGGAUUGGCUCUAAGUUGUCAAACUUGUUUUGGGAUGAGGGUUUCACACUAGAUCAACCAUAGUUGUACAUCUUGAUAGUUUAAGUUUGAUGCAAAAGUAGUGGAAGCCAUAGGUUAAGAUUUUAAGUUGACAAAUUCACUCUCUCCUCUUAAGCUACGAGCACCGAUUCCUUACAAACAUCCCUAACGUCUGGGAUGGCAUUCAUCAUUGAACGAGCGUAGCGCGCACUCAGGCAGUUGGCCUGUGCCACGAUGGUUGUGUUGUAUCGUUGCUAUAUGUUUCAAAGCGGAGUAAAAAAC